Molecule: ribosomal RNA, 253 nt
Filed under: uncultured bacterium
Lineage: Bacteria
Description: partial 16S ribosomal RNA
Rfam family: Bacterial small subunit ribosomal RNA
Source: RNAcentral
UACAGAGGGUGCAAGCGUUAAUCGGAAUUAUUGGGCGUAAAGGGCUUGUAGGCGGUUUUUUAAGUUAGGUGUGAAAUCCCUGGGCUUAACCUGGGAAGAGCAGCUGAUACUGGAAGACUAGAGUAUGACAGAGGAGUGGGGAAUUCCUGGUGUAGCAGUGAAAUGCGUAGAGAUCAGGAGGAACAUCAGUGGCGAAGGCGCCACUCUGGGUUAAUACUGACGCUGAGGAGCGAAGGCGUGGGGAUCAAACAGG